GGCAUGGCGACGGCCCAAUCCAGCAAAUGCACAACCAUAAUCAAGAACGUGCCAUUAUGCAUCAGACGCCGCUCACUCUGCUGCUUAGAUAUAAGUAUAAUCAAACUGGCGAUACGCCCGAAAUGCUUGUGCGAGGCUAUCAAUAGCGACAAAAGCGAAAUUGCAUAUGUGAGGAUCACACUCGGCAAAUGCGACAUCCCACUCCCCUCUCCCGGCCUAUGCGAGAGCAUGCGCGAGAGCGAGACUCUUGCACCAGCACCAGCACCAGCACCAGAACUAGCACCACCGGCCGAUUCUUCCGAAGUCGACGACUAAGGGGAUCUAACAUGCAAGGACCAACUUCAAUUCAACUUAAUUAUAAGUUUGGGUGUGCUGUUAAUUUACACUUGCCUUCUUUUCCAUGCCUUGAUUUCAUCUAUACAUAUCUUGCCUUGUAUUGUUUGUGUGAUUUUUAUGUUUAUUCUCAUUUUGUUGUACCACACUAUUUUGCUACUUUCUUCUCUUGCUAAUAAAACUUUUUCAUUUUGUUGUG
Non-coding RNA from Salvia hispanica, 532 nucleotides. The record is from RefSeq and is a predicted model, not a curated record. NCBI's taxonomy places the organism in Eukaryota, Viridiplantae, Streptophyta, Magnoliopsida, Lamiales, Lamiaceae.